This 24-nucleotide non-coding RNA is filed under the name Gossypium hirsutum (cotton). The record is from RNAcentral. Lineage: Eukaryota; Viridiplantae; Streptophyta; Magnoliopsida; Malvales; Malvaceae.
AGAAAGACGUGAGUUCGAGUGUGC